AGACUCCCUUUGCCUACCUCUUCCUCUCUGACCCCAUCCUCGCUUUGAUGCCCGGGACCUGCUACCCAGAAACAACGUGAGGCUCAGAGAGAAGAAAUGACUAAAAUUACACAGCUGGUACAUGGCAGAGGUGGAACUAAAAAGUUAAGUGUGUCUACCCCAGAGCCGAGUAGACCUGCUCUUUUUUGAACACUUCCUGGACUUUCAUGCCUUUGUCCCAGCUGUGCCCUCUCCCUGGAUGCCCCUUCCAUCUGGGCAGCUCCUACUAGACCUGCCUUGGCAUACAUAACACAGGAGAACGGAUUGCCAAAGGGUAGGAGAGUGCCUGGUCUAUAGUGUGCGCCCAACACAGAUUUGGUGAAUGAAUGAACACUGGGUCCAGCAGACCUGGAUUCUUCCAUGUAACCCACUGUGUGGCCUUGGUGGAGCCAUGCGGGUGCAAUAAUCCUGGUUUCCACCCUUCAGGGCUGCUGCUGGGACUCAGUGAGAUCAUCAUGUAUCUAAUGCCCUUUGCUCAGUGCUGGGCACACAGUCAAUGCGCAUUGAAUCUUAGCUAUUGCUACCUUUACAAUCAAUCAAAAGUCACUUCUGAAGAAUAGACAGGGCUCCCCCAGGCCAAAUAAAUAAUUCCUCCCGGGACAAACCCCAGCUCUCACUCCCUCCUCUUUAGGCAGGGGGCUCCCUGAAGGACAGAGACCCGGUUUUAUUCCAUCUUGCCGUCCCCCAUGGUGCCGGGCAUACAGUGGUGCCCAGUAAACGUGUGUGUUGCACAAACAUGCGGUAACUAGGGCCCCAUCUUUUUCAAAAGAACACACUCCCCAGGUGCAGCCGCAAAGAGAGACUGUUCAGCUGUUCAGGUGAGGUUUUGGGGUGAAACUCGUCUGAAUAAUAGUUUUACU
RNAcentral lists this long non-coding RNA (899 nucleotides) under Homo sapiens (human). RNAcentral's name for it is "non-protein coding lnc-CLCNKB-1:9". Lineage: Eukaryota; Metazoa; Chordata; Mammalia; Primates; Hominidae. The record is from RNAcentral.